GGAGAAUCAGGAGAAAGAGAAAUAUAUUUGGAUGGCAGGAGAUUUCAAUGACCAGCUAUGUAUUCAACAACUGAGUUGAAUUUCAUAGGUGUCAGUUGAAAUGCCUGCGAGGUUAUUUUUCUUCCCCCAGCCAGACUUUUGAGGCCCUUGAACAACAAGUAGAGAGGGUUGAACCUUUGGCAUGUAUAUUUACAGACCAUUAGAGACAUGAGACAAUCACAAUAAUUCCUGGAGGUAAAUCUCAUCCUCUCAUAGUCCAAAUCAACUUUACCCAGCAGCGUGGAUAUUCUAAACCCUUCUUCACCCAGCACUUUAUUGUUUCCCUAGCAACCUGACAACUGGGGAAGCAGGAUGGGGAGGCCACAGCAAACAAAAUGAAUUACAGCAGAGGUGUAUGGCUGGCGGAAAGGGCACAGUAGAAGGUGGAGGGACUUGAUGUUUCAAGCCAAGGAGAGCUCCUGUGCCCGAGACACUACAAAGCCCAGCACUAUCUCAUGAAGCUCCUGAGUCCUGAGAUGCAGCCAGAUUUUGUCCAUCACACAAUGGCCUGGCCGAGCCCAGGGACAUUGACCAGAAACCCGAGGCAAUGAGAUUGUCAGGAAGAGCCGGUGAACUCCUAGGACCCCUUGGCCCUGAGGAGUCUCUAUGGAACAGGAGGCCAGUCACAUCUGAAGGUUUGGAAGAUCCAUUAGGGAACAUUCACUUGGUCAUAUCGUCUUGGAGGUCUUUCCCAUAGCUUCUGACCGCACGGCUAUUUGCUCAUUGGUGGGAAAUUCUUGAUAGGACUAGAAAUGAAGUUUUGCC
Molecule: long non-coding RNA, 804 nt
Filed under: Vulpes vulpes (red fox)
Lineage: Eukaryota; Metazoa; Chordata; Mammalia; Carnivora; Canidae
Description: lncRNA (ENSVVUG00000029312.1)
Source: RNAcentral